RNAcentral lists this ribosomal RNA (253 nucleotides) under uncultured bacterium. RNAcentral describes it as "partial 16S ribosomal RNA". It matches the Rfam family "Bacterial small subunit ribosomal RNA", at positions 524 to 776 of the family's 1533-position model. The record is from RNAcentral.
UACGUAGGGGGCAAGCGUUGUCCGGAUUUAUUGGGCGUAAAGAGCGUGUAGGCGGCCAGGUAGGUCCGUUGUGAAAACUGGAGGCUUAACCUCCAGCUGUCGAUGGAAACCAUCUGGCUAGAGUCCGGAAGAGGCGAGUGGAACUCCUGGUGUAGCGGUGGAAUGCGCAGAUAUCAGGAAGAACACCAGCGGCGAAGGCAGCUCGCUGGGACGGAACUGACGCUAAGGCGCGAAAGCGUGGGGAGCGAACAGG